UUGGAUUGCGGGGGAUACUGUCUGGCUAGGGGGCGGGAGAGGCCGACGGUAUUUCCGGGGUAGGGGUGAAAUCCUAUAAUCCCGGAAGGACCACCAGUGGCGAAGCCGUCGGCUAGAACGCGCUCGACGGUGAGGGAUGAAAGCUGGGGGAGCGAACCGGAUUAGAUACCCGGGUAGUCCCAGCCGUAAACGAUGCAGGCUAGGUGUUAGGGCGGCCACGUGCCGCUCUAGUGCCGCAGGGAAGUUGUUAAGCCUGCCGCCUGGGGAGUACGGCUGCAAGGCUGAAACUUAAAGGAAUUGGCGGGGGAGCACCACAAGGCGUGAAGCUUGCGGUUUAAUUGGAGUCAACGCCGGAAAUCUCACCGGGGGCGACAGCAGAAUGAAAGCCAGAUUAAAGGUCUUGCCAGACGAGCUGAGAGGAGGUGCAUGGCCGUCGCCAGUUCGUGCCGUGAGGUGUCCUGUUAAGUCAGGCAACGAUCGAGACCCGCAUCCCCCGUUGCCACCAGCCAUGAGCUGGGCACACUGGGGAGACCGCCGCCGAUAAGGCGGAGGAAGGAGCGGGCCACGGCAGGUCAGUAUGCCCCGAACCUCCCGGGCCACACGCGAGCUGCAAUGGCAGGUACAAUGGGUUCCAACCUCGAAAGGGGAAGGCAAUCCCUAAAGCCUGCCGUAGUUGGGAUCGAGGGUUGAACUCACCCUCGUGAACAUGGAAUGCCUAGUAAUCGCGCGUCACUAGCG
Molecule: ribosomal RNA, 738 nt
Filed under: uncultured crenarchaeote
Lineage: Archaea; Thermoproteati; Thermoproteota
Description: bacterial SSU rRNA
Rfam family: Archaeal small subunit ribosomal RNA
Source: RNAcentral